UACGGGAGGCAGCAGUGGGGAAUAUUGCACAAUGGGCGCAAGCCUGAUGCAGCCAUGCCGCGUGUAUGAAGAAGGCCUUCGGGUUGUAAAGUACUUUCAGUCGUGAGGAAGGUGUUAAGGUUAAUAACCUUAGCAAUUGACGUUAGCGACAGAAGAAGCACCGGCUAACUCCGUGCCAGCAGCCGCGGUAAUACGGAGGGUGCGAGCGUUAAUCGGAAUUACUGGGCUAAAGGGCACGCAGGCGGUUAAUUAAGUUGGAUGUGAAAUCCCCGGGCUUAACCUGGGAAUGGCAUUCAAGACUGGUUAGCUAGAGUCUUGUAGAGGGGGUUAGAAUUCCAUGUGUAGCGGUGAAAUGCGUAGAGAUGUGGAGGAAUACCGGUGGCGAAGGCGGCCCCUGGACAAAGACUGACGCUCAUGUGCGAAAGCGUGGGGAGCAAACAGGGAUUAGAUACC
Molecule: ribosomal RNA, 453 nt
Filed under: uncultured bacterium
Lineage: Bacteria
Description: bacterial SSU rRNA
Rfam family: Bacterial small subunit ribosomal RNA
Source: RNAcentral